Molecule: ribosomal RNA, 170 nt
Filed under: uncultured bacterium
Lineage: Bacteria
Description: partial 16S ribosomal RNA
Rfam family: Bacterial small subunit ribosomal RNA
Source: RNAcentral
CAGAGGCAGCAAUAGGGAAUCGUCGGCAAUGGGGGCAACCCUGACCGAGCAACGCCGCGUGAGUGAAGAAGGUUUUCGGAUCGUAAAGCUCUGUUGUAAGAGAAGAACGUGUGUGAGAGUGGAAAGUUCACACAGUGACGGUAACUUACCAGAAAGGGACGGCUAACUAC